Molecule: ribosomal RNA, 253 nt
Filed under: uncultured bacterium
Lineage: Bacteria
Description: partial 16S ribosomal RNA
Rfam family: Bacterial small subunit ribosomal RNA
Source: RNAcentral
UACGUAGGCAGCAAGCGUUGUUCGGAAUUACUGGGCGUAAAGCGCGUGUAGGUGGUGCUAUAAGUUUGGUGUGAAAUCUCCCGGCUCAACUGGGAGGGUGCGCCGAAGACUGUAGUGCUAGAGUAUGGGAGAGGUAGGCGGAAUUCCUGGUGUAGCGGUGAAAUGCGUAGAUAUCAGGAGGAACACCUGCGGUGUAGACGGCUUACUGGACCAUGACUGACACUGAAACUCGAAAGUGUGGGGAGCAAACAGG